UACAGGUAGACGGGAUGAGUAUUCUAAGGCGCUCGGGUGAGCCGUGGAGAAGGAACUAGGCAAAUUGACGCUGUAACUUCGGGAUAAAGCGUACCAUCUUCGGAUGGUCUCAGUAAAAUGGUUCAACCAACUGUUUAACAAAAACACAGGGCCCUGCAAAAUCGAAAGAUGACGUAUAGAGCCUGAUACCUGCCCGGUGCCGGAAGGUUAAGGAAGGAUGUUCGACGCAAGUCAAAGCUUCUGACUGAAGCCCCGGUAAACGGCGGCCGUAACUAUAACGGUCCUAAGGUAGCGAAAUUCCUUGUCGGGUAAGUUCCGACCUGCACGAAUGGUCUAAUGAGUUGAACGCUGUCUCCUCCACGAGCCCGGUGAAAUUGUAGUAUCGGUGAAGAUGCCGGUUACCCGCCACGGGACGGAAAGACCCCGUGAACCUUCACUACAACUUUGCAUUGAUUUUGAAUUACGGAUGUGUAGAAUAGUUGGGACUCUUUGAAGCAGUGGCGCCAGCCAUUGUGGAGAGGUCGUUGAAAUACCAACCUUCUUUGAUUUAGAGUCUAAUCCCUUGCGGGAAACAGUGCAUGGUGGGUAGUUUGACUGGGGUGGUCGCCUCCUAAAGAGUAACGGAGGCUUGCAAAGGUACCCUCAGUACGGUUGGUAAUCGUACGAAGAGCGCAUUAGUAUAAGGGUGCUUGACUGUGAGGCAUACAAGCCGAGCAGGGACGAAAGUCGGCUAAAGUGAUCCGGCGGUUCUGUAUGGAAGGGCCGUCGCUCAAAGGAUAAAGGGUACUCCCGGGAUAACAGGCUGAUCUCCCCCAAGAGCUCAUAUCGACGGGGAGGUUUGGCACCUCGAUGUCGGUUCGUCACAUCCUGGGGCUGGAGAAGGUCCCAAGGGUUCGGCUGUUCGCCGAUUAAAGUGGCACGUGAACUGGGUUCAGAACGUCGCAAGACAGUUCGGUCCCUAUCUGUGGUGGGCGCAAGUAAAUUGAGAGGACAUGACCUUAGUACGAGAGGACCGGGUCGUACGUACCGCUGGUGUAUCGGUUGUGCCGCCAGGUGCAAUGCCGAGUAGCUAUGUACGGCAAGGAUAAACGCUGAAAGCAUCUAAGCGUGAAACCUUCCUUAAGAUGAGUUUACUUUUAAGGGUCGUCAGAGACUAUGACGUUGAUAGGCUAUAGGUGUAAAGGUGGUAACAUCAAAGCCGAGUAGUACUAAUUGCCCGUAAGCUUUAAUAA
RNAcentral lists this ribosomal RNA (1232 nucleotides) under metagenome. RNAcentral's name for it is "bacterial LSU rRNA". It matches the Rfam family "Bacterial large subunit ribosomal RNA", at positions 1658 to 2925 of the family's 2925-position model. The record is from RNAcentral.